CAGCCAACCAAUUAAUCUAUUUCUCUGAAUAGUUUCUGCAGAAAUUUAGAAACAGCUGGCAAUAGUGAUGCCAUUUUCUGAGCCUUAAAGACAACUGAGGUCAUUAUAGUCCCUCAGUAUGGCUACAAUA
Small nucleolar RNA from Jaculus jaculus (lesser Egyptian jerboa), 130 nucleotides. NCBI's taxonomy places the organism in Eukaryota, Metazoa, Chordata, Mammalia, Rodentia, Dipodidae. The record is from Ensembl.